Molecule: ribosomal RNA, 439 nt
Filed under: uncultured bacterium
Lineage: Bacteria
Description: partial 16S ribosomal RNA
Rfam family: Bacterial small subunit ribosomal RNA
Source: RNAcentral
CUACGGGUUGCUGCAGUGGGGAAUAUUGGACAAUGGGGGAAACCCUGAUCCAGCCAUGCCGCGUGCGUGAAGAAGGCCUUAGGGUUGUAAAGCGCUUUCGGCGGGGAAGAUGAUGACGGUACCCGCAGAAGAAGCCCCGGCUAACUCCGUGCCAGCAGCCGCGGUAAUACGGAGGGGGCUAGCGUUGUUCGGAAUUACUGGGCGUAAAGGGCGCGUAGGCGGGUCAUUAAGUCAGGGGUGAAAGGCCCGGGCUCAACCCGGGAACUGCCUUUGAAACUGAUGGUCUGGAGUCCGGAAGAGGAUGGCGGAAUACCCAGUGUAGAGGUGAAAUUCGUAGAUAUUGGGAAGAACACCAGUGGCGAAGGCGGCCAUCUGGUCCGGUACUGACGCUGAGGCGCGAAAGCGUGGGGAGCAAACAGGAUUAGAUACCCGAGUAGUC